AGAGGAAGCUAGGGACAGGAAAGGGCUGGGCUGGGGUCAGAAGUCAGAGGCUGAUGGGAGCAGGUCGUCUCCUGUGCAGCAUGGAUGGAGACACAGGAGCGUGUCUCUGCUCUGGGUCCAGGAGUUGAAGAGACAUCAGUGUAUUGUCACGCAACUUGAAUAAGAACAGUGAACUGUGGGGUGGUCUUUGAAUCACCUCUUCUCACACAUUGAUCAGCAAACAGCUGAAGAUUGGAAAUGCAGGCGAGUAAUGGAGAAGCCUGGGUCACCGCAUGAGAACAGGCGGAUUCACCAUUUGGUCACUGACUCUCUACUGGACACGGAGGUGCCCGAUCGAAGGCAGUUAUGUUGCAGAAGUGUCUGAAACUCUGUGUGAUGUAGUGGUGGGUUAAUAACUAUCACGAUUUUGAAAUAGUUAUGAGUAUAGAUAAUAUUUUGAGGUACUUGCAAUAACUACAAUUUGAUAUAAAAAUAUCUGUGAUUCCUAUUGGUGAGAAAGCCACAGAUACUGCUAAUACUUCAAUCCAUAAAAAAGGAAAUGGUAAAUUUUCAUUAGAUGUUAGUGAAAGUAAAUAUAUAUAUAUAUAUAUUUUUUCCCAUCCAAGUUUACGGGUCCCUGAAUUCUGAGGCCCAGGUUAAGAGGCUUCCUCUUAGGACAAUAUCUGAAACACACCAAGUGUUUUAUCUUUGUCAUCAUCAUCCCAGGCCAGGGGACUCCCAGGACUUUGGAACUGGACAGAAUCAGUUCCACUUGCUGUGUGACUGAGCCCAACCCCUACACCUUUCUGAACCUGUUUCUUCCUCUCUAAAAGAGGAACACCUAGACCUUAGUGCUGUGAGGAGGUCCUUUAAGCAUUUUGACAUCUGUAACAUGGGGUAGAUCUGAAUUAUUAUUGCUUUAAUUCUGUGAGAAGGGGCCCAGGAGACUUUUCCAGAGCCUGCACCUCCGACCCGGUCACCUAAUUCAGAAUCUCUACUAGCACCCCAAUACUCAGUCUUCAAAGCCUGUCACAAUCUUGCCUCUAACCCAGAGACCCACAUUCUGAAUUUGGCCCACAGAUGGCCAGCGCAGUGCAUGUGUUUUAGUUGUCAUCAUUUAAUAAUUUCACCUACAAACUGAGUUCUCUGGAAUUCAGCCAGCUCUGCUGACCCCCUCCCACCUUCACACGUGGCAUCAAACACAAGUGCAGAUCGAAGGCUACUUCCUUCAGGGGGACUCCAGCUCACCAGGUCCCUGCAGGCCUUGCUCCUUUGUUUGUGAACCAGUAGGCUCCAAAUUUGCAACAUGGCCCUCACCUCUCUGGCUCCAUCCUUUGCCUCACGUCCUCACACACUGCACUGUGUGUGUCCCUCCAACGCUCCUCCGUGCUGCAGCCUCCUAUAAUGUUUUUGCCUCUUCCUACAACAGCCUCCCUGUGGCACUCUGGGAAAGCCCAAUAAACAGAUCUGUCUCCGCCAUCCUGAUUUCAUCAAACAAAUACCCUGAGCUGGCACAAGAUACAGAGGCCGCUAGGGAGACCAGCGACACCCACCAUGCAAUUUCGACGCCUGACCCCUGGCUACUUCCGGGUGCUACAGAUGCAGGUGGCCGGGAAGCUAAAGGCAGAGCCCCGGAGUCCACUGGCUGGGGUUGUGGCUACACUGCUGGCUGUCCUCGGGCUGGGCGGCUCCUGCUAUGCUGUCUGGAAGAUGGUGAGGCAGCAGCGGCCGCCACAGGCC
Molecule: non-coding RNA, 1719 nt
Organism: Equus caballus (horse)
Lineage: Eukaryota; Metazoa; Chordata; Mammalia; Perissodactyla; Equidae
Source: RefSeq, a predicted model, not a curated record